RNAcentral lists this ribosomal RNA (378 nucleotides) under uncultured bacterium. RNAcentral describes it as "bacterial SSU rRNA". It matches the Rfam family "Bacterial small subunit ribosomal RNA", at positions 362 to 758 of the family's 1533-position model. The record is from RNAcentral.
UAUUGGACAAUGGGGGCAACCCUGAUCCAGCCAUGCCGCGUGAGUGAUGAAGGCCUUCGGGUUGUAAAGCUCUUUUGGCGGGGACGAUGAUGACGGUACCCGCAGAAUAAGCCCCGGCUAACUUCGUGCCAGCAGCCGCGGUAAGACGAAGGGGGCUAGCGUUGUUCGGAAUUACUGGGCGUAAAGCGCGUGUAGGCGGUUGCCCAAGUCGGGUGUGAAAGCCUUGAGCUCAACUCAAGAAAUGCACUCGGUACUGGGUGACUAGAGGACCGGAGAGGAUAGUGGAAUUCCCAGUGUAGUGGUGAAAUACGUAGAGAUUGGGAAGAACACCAGUGGCGAAGGCGGCUAUCUGGACGGUUCUGACACUAAGACUCGAAA